GAUGAACGCUGGCGGCGUGCUUAACACAUGCAAGUCGAACGGGAAUUAUUUUAUUGAAACUUCGGUCGAUUUAAUUUAAUUCUAGUGGCGGACGGGUGAGUAACGCGUGGGUAACCUGCCUUAUACAGGGGGAUAACAGUCAGAAAUGGCUGCUAAUACCGCAUAAGCGCACAGAGCUGCAUGGCUCAGUGGGAAAAACUCCGGUGGUAUAAGAUGGACCCGCGUUGGAUUAGCUGGUUGGUGGGGUAACGGCCCACCAAGGCGACGAUCCAUAGCCGGCCUGAGAGGGUGAACGGCCACAUUGGGACUGAGACACGGCCCAGACUCCUACGGGAGGCAGCAGUGGGGAAUAUUGCACAAUGGGGGAAACCCUGAUGCAGCGACGCCGCGUGAAGGAAGAAGUAUCUCGGUAUGUAAACUUCUAUCAGCAGGGAAGAUAGUGACGGUACCUGACUAAGAAGCCCCGGCUAACUACGU
RNAcentral lists this ribosomal RNA (477 nucleotides) under uncultured bacterium. RNAcentral's name for it is "partial 16S ribosomal RNA". It matches the Rfam family "Bacterial small subunit ribosomal RNA", at positions 28 to 506 of the family's 1533-position model. The record is from RNAcentral.